AACAGUGGGGAAUUUUGGACAAUGGGCGCAAGCCUGAUCCAGCAAUGCCGCGUGAGUGAAGAAGGCCUUCGGGUUGUAAAGCUCUUUUGUCAGGGAAGAAACGGUGAGGGCUAAUAUCUCUUGCUAAUGACGGUACCUGAAGAAUAAGCACCGGCUAACUACGUGCCAGCAGCCGCGGUAAUACGUAGGGUGCAAGCGUUAAUCGGAAUUACUGGGCGUAAAGCGUGCGCAGGCGGUUUUGUAAGUUUGUCGUGAAAGCCCCGGGCUCAACCUGGGAAUUGCGAUGAAGACUGCAAGGCUUGAAUCUGGCAGAGGGGGGUAGAAUUCCACGUGUAGCAGUGAAAUGCGUAGAGAUGUGGAGGAACACCGAUGGCGAAGGCAGCCCCCUGGGUCAAGAUUGACGCUCAUG
Molecule: ribosomal RNA, 409 nt
Filed under: uncultured bacterium
Lineage: Bacteria
Description: bacterial SSU rRNA
Rfam family: Bacterial small subunit ribosomal RNA
Source: RNAcentral